CCUACGGGCGGCAGCAGUGAGGAAUAUUGGUCAAUGGACGCAAGUCUGAACCAGCCAUGCCGCGUGAGGGAAGACGGCUCUGUGAGUUGUAAACUGCUUUUGUACGGGGGUAAACGCAGAUACGCGUAUCUGUCUGAAAGUAUCGUACGAAUAAGGAUCGGCUAACUCCGUGCCAGCAGCCGCGGUAAUACGGAGGAUUCAAGCGUUAUCCGGAUUUAUUGGGUUUAAAGGGUGCGUAGGCGGUCGGAUAAGUUAGAGGUGAAAUCCCGAGGCUCAACUUCGGAAUUGCCUCUGAUACUGGUGGGCUAGAGAGUAGGUGCGGUAGGCGGAAUGUAUGGUGUAGCGGUGAAAUGCUUAGAGAUCAUACAGAACACCGAUUGCGAAGGCAGCUUACCAAGCUAAUGCUGACGUUGAGGCACGAAAGCGUGGGGAGCAAACAGGAUUAGAUACCCUUGUAGUC
RNAcentral lists this ribosomal RNA (460 nucleotides) under uncultured bacterium. RNAcentral describes it as "partial 16S ribosomal RNA". It matches the Rfam family "Bacterial small subunit ribosomal RNA", at positions 338 to 795 of the family's 1533-position model. The record is from RNAcentral.